Molecule: non-coding RNA, 913 nt
Organism: Monodelphis domestica (gray short-tailed opossum)
Lineage: Eukaryota; Metazoa; Chordata; Mammalia; Didelphimorphia; Didelphidae
Source: RefSeq, a predicted model, not a curated record
UUAACUUCUUCCCCAGGCUAGGACUUGCAUCCCAUUGCAGAAUUUUUUUCCAACAUUGUAAUCAAUGUUUGUAGUCUUAUAUAGUUUUAUACCUAGGGAAUUGAGAAAUCAAGUAAUUUGUACAUAAUCAAAGAGUUAGUACAUUUCAGAGGGCAAGCCUCAGGUCUUCCUUCCUGACUCCAAGGCAAGCCAAAGCAGCUAAUAUUUCAAAGGAAAAAAAGCAGCUAAUAUUGAGGGCUUAUAUCCCAAAGAAAAUAAAUCUAGAAAUGACAAAGAGAAGAGAAAUAUUUUUGAAAAGAAAAAUGAACCCUCCUCCCCCAAGAACUCCCUACUCUUCUAUCCUCUCAUCAAAUCAAAUGAACAAACAUAUCUUAUAUAUGUUUGAAUGUAAAACACUGCUCUUGGAACUAGAGAAAACAGGGCAGAAAAGAACUAAAGAACUAGACACAGAGUCUCCAGAUCAGCAUAUAUAAAAAGCAGCUGCAUGAAGUAGAUAGACAGCAACUCAGCAUCAGGAAGGCCAAUGUUUGACCAAGGGCAAAUCAAUUAACCUCUCAAUGCCCUUAGGCAAAGAUCUUAAGCCUACAAAUUAUAGAACACUUGCCAGUUUGGGUUAGUAGGGGAGUUUUCUUUAUUAGGAGUUUCCUUUAUUAAUAAAAUAAAGCAUCUACUCUUAAAAAAACCCCAACCACCUGUGAAAUAAUUUCUUUUGCUUUGUUUUCCAAGCAUGGGCAGGUAGGUUAACAUUCCAUUUAACUAGGCAGCUAAGACUGGACCAUGGUGGAAAGGGGGAUGGAGUAUCAAGGAGCAAGGAUGGAGUAGUAAAUUAUGAUCAAGAAAAGGAGGAGCUAUGCUCUGGUCAGCUCAUCCUGAACAGGACAUUAUAUGCAUUAAAAAAUAUAAAGAUGGCUUA